Molecule: transfer RNA, 74 nt
Filed under: Trichonephila inaurata madagascariensis
Lineage: Eukaryota; Metazoa; Arthropoda; Arachnida; Araneae; Nephilidae
Rfam family: tRNA
About the family: Transfer RNA (tRNA) molecules are approximately 80 nucleotides in length. Their secondary structure includes four short double-helical elements and three loops (D, anti-codon, and T loops).
Source: Rfam by way of RNAcentral
GGCACCGUGGCUUAGUUGGUUAAAGCGCUUGUCUAGUAAACAGGAGAUCACGAGCUCUAAUCUCGUCGGGGCCU